CUGACUUCCUGGUGUGUCCUGCAUCAUCACAAGGGACCUGCAGGCAACAGCUGAACUAAGUCCUAAUCCUGAUCUGUAGGUUUUUAUAUAGGCUUGAUUAUGAGCCUGCUUUAUCACUAUAAUAAUCUAGGCUGUUGGUUGGAUGUAUCUACCACCUGAGAGUUUGCUCAGCUCCUUGACUGGGGUCGCUGGGAUGGUCCUGCCUACCCAGUGAAGCUCAUACUGCUCCCAGCUCUCAUAAUGGAGGGAGAAGAUGCAAAGGGAGAAGCAGUCAUAUGAGUAACUACUGGCAAAUAGGUUACCUACCACUUGAACAAGAGACAGAACAAUUAUAAUUGCACAAAAGAAAAGUUUGCUUCACUCCAUUGGCUAUAAGAGGGAACUGUGUUAAUCAUCAUAGUUGCAGAAAUCAGCUGUGUAGAAGUCUAACAAGGUAAGAUGUAUUGACUGGAUAUUUCACAAGAAGCUUGUCAUGUAAGCAUUUACAUUUAAAACAACACAGUUUUAUCACUCUAUUACACUACUGAUAGCAUUUUAGAGAAGAGUAAAUAAGAGAAAAAUUUAAAAAGUAAACCAAAUAAGAGUCUUAUUUUGUUUUUAGAGAAACAGAUUUUAAGAUCAAAUCAGAAAGAUACACUCAAGCAGAGGCCUCUUACCAAUAUGUAAAUAGAGAAAACUAUAUGAGAAUGAAACAAAACCUGUUCUGAUUAGUGUUUUUCUUCUGUACUGGGUGUAGCCUUUGAUGUCUGCCCUUUGUGGUUUGUAAAUUGAACAGACACAAUAAUAUCUGUAAAAAUAGAAUAUGAACUUUUUUUUUUUUCCCAUAUUUGCCAGAAAAGAUAUUUGAGGAAAAACAAAACAGAAACUUCCAUCAGUAGCUUUUUAGAAAGCAUUCUCUUUGUGGCAGCAUUUUUCUAAAAGUAGAACAAAUGAUCCAGGAAAGAUCGUUUAAGGAUAUGAUGCUAGUUUGAAGAGAACAGUGAAAUAAAAAGAAGCUCUGAAAAAUUUAGCA
This 1012-nucleotide long non-coding RNA is filed under the name Anas platyrhynchos platyrhynchos (common mallard). RNAcentral's name for it is "lncRNA (ENSAPLG00000026594.1)". Lineage: Eukaryota; Metazoa; Chordata; Aves; Anseriformes; Anatidae. The record is from RNAcentral.